UACGAAGGGUGCAAACGUUGCUCGGAAUCAUUGGGCGUAAAGCGCACGUAGGCGGCCUGAUAAGUCGGGUGUGAAAGCCCUGGGCUCAACCCAGGAAGUGCACUCGAAACUGUCAGGCUUGAAUAUGGAAGAGGGUCGCGGAAUUCCCGGUGUAGAGGUGAAAUUCGUAGAUAUCGGGAGGAACACCAGUGGCGAAGGCGGCGACCUGGGCCAAUAUUGACGCUGAGGUGCGAAAGCGUGGGGAGCAAACAGG
Molecule: ribosomal RNA, 253 nt
Filed under: uncultured bacterium
Lineage: Bacteria
Description: partial 16S ribosomal RNA
Rfam family: Bacterial small subunit ribosomal RNA
Source: RNAcentral